RNAcentral lists this microRNA precursor (60 nucleotides) under Chrysemys picta bellii (western painted turtle). Its description in RNAcentral is "Cpi-Mir-9595_pre stem-loop". The record is from RNAcentral. Lineage: Eukaryota; Metazoa; Chordata; Testudines; Emydidae.
UCUGCUACACAGCCAGAGCGUCCGUGAGCCACAAGUGGAUGUCCCGGCUGUGAGUAGCGU